RNAcentral lists this ribosomal RNA (266 nucleotides) under uncultured bacterium. RNAcentral describes it as "partial 16S ribosomal RNA". It matches the Rfam family "Bacterial small subunit ribosomal RNA", at positions 88 to 354 of the family's 1533-position model. The record is from RNAcentral.
UGCAUGAGUGGCGGACGGGUGAGUAACGCGUGGGCAACCUGGCCUGUACAGGGGGAUAACACUUAGAAGUAGGUGCUAAUACCGCAUAACGGGGGAAGCCGCAUGGCUUUUCCCUGAAAACUCCGGUGGUACAGGAUGGGCCCGCGUCUGAUUAGCCAGUUGGCAGGGUAACGGCCUACCAAAAGCGACGACCAGUAGCCGGCCUGAGAGGGCGGACGGCCACACUGGGACUGAGACACGGCCCAGACUCCUACGGGAGGCAGCAG